This 6921-nucleotide long non-coding RNA is filed under the name Malus domestica (apple). RNAcentral describes it as "long non-coding RNA (MDOM_LNC011710)". The record is from RNAcentral. Lineage: Eukaryota; Viridiplantae; Streptophyta; Magnoliopsida; Rosales; Rosaceae.
AUUUUAAGAAUUUUUAAAGUUUUCAUAAAGGAUUUUACAAAAAUGCCCUUUGAAGGUACGUGCAUUAUUCGAGGUUAAUCACCAUGUCGUGCCAUCUAAGAUUUGUUUUCUUGAUAUAUCCCCGUAGUACUCGUCGUUACGGACGCGUGGGCGCAGACGGUUCGUGAUUUGGAGUUAUAUCGAGGAAGUUAUUAAAGUUUGAAGUUGGGAUUUUAAGGAAUUAUAAUUUUAGUAAAAUAUAGAAAUUCUUUUAUGAAAAUGGACGGCCCAGAUUUAAUGAUGAAUGAAAUGGAUGGUUGGGAUGAGAGAAAGUUUUGUGUGUGUGUAUGCGUGAGAAGAAAACAGAAAAGAAGAGGGAUUGAGCAAAGCUGCCCAAUCGGAGAAGAAGGAGGAGAGACCGAAUGGGGAGAAGAGAGAGGGAGAAGCUGACCAACUAGAGGAAGGAAAGGAGGAAAGGAGAGAGGGCGAGAAGCGGAGGAGAGAAGGAAGAAAUGGGUUUUCCCCAACCCGUAUAUACCCGCGCGACCCGCGACUUCCAAUCGGCGGGUUUUCGCCAUUUUCGUCCAAUUUUCCGACGAAUUGAAUCAGGGUACCACUCCUAAUCAUCAUCUAGGCCUUCCCUCUUCACGUUUCACCCCAAGAAUCAUUGAAUUUCGUUGUGAUUUCGCGAAGAACACCCCUACGGGUGCCGCGACCCUUUUGUUUAAAUUCUCCAAAUUUUGAAAUGUUUUUCUUUCAAUUACUAACACACCAUUAGCAUUCCCUUAGGACCUAAAACAAAGCCCAAGAGGUAAUUGAGGCGUUGGAACAAGUUUGAAGGUCGAAUUGGAAACACCCAAUUCUAGGGUUCUUCACGGUUUUUGGUGAAAUUGAAGCACUUCCAGGCCAAAUUGGCCUUGGCCUCAGGUAUGAAAGUUGUUCUACUCAUUGAGAUCUUCAAAUCUGCAAAUUUUAGUAAUUUUUGGAAAUAGUUGAAUUUUCCGGCGAGCCGGGGCGGCCAACCGCCACCCGCGGCGGCCCGCGCGGCGGUGCGUGGCCAAUGGCCCGCCAAUGUCAUUAUUAGCUUGUGAUUAAGGUUCUAGGUUCUGUUUUGAUAAUUGAUGGACGUAAAUUGAAUAAUUGAACCUAAGUUGGUUACGAUUCGUGGUUAGGUAAAAAUGUGAAUUGACGAUCCGACCGUUGGAUCGUCACCAAACUUUGAUACUUUGUAAUACGUAAUAUUUGAGGAUUAUAGGAAUUUACGGAUUGAGAAUCCGAUUUACGGAUCUUCCGGAAUUGAAGUUGUAAGUUCAUAAAAUAGAAUGUUAACAGUCACUUAGUUUUGGAAAUUGACGGAGAUCCGACCGUUGGAUGGUAAUGAAAUUUUAGGAUGUUGUCCUAGAGGUAUAUUGUGGACCUCUGGAAGUUACGGAUUUGAAAUCUGAGUUGCAGAUCAUCCGGAUCGAAUUACGUAGUGACGUGUCUUAUAUAAGUUAUGUAUUCUAUCGGCAGGAUUUCUGAGGUUGGGUUUGAUUAUUGUUCUAGGCGCUAAUCUUCAUGACGCCUUGAUGUGUGGUGCUAGGGAGUUGUUGGGCGAACUCCAGGUGAGUGGGCAGUUUUGUUUUCGUAUUACCUAUAUACUAUUGUUUUUCCCAGAAAAAUGCUUUUAUGAGAAAUUAUGUUUUGAAAAUGCCAUGCAUAGAAUUAUUUGGAAAAUGUGAAUUUCAUAUGAGUUAUAUGAUUGAUAUAUGAUGCAUACAUGUUGCAUGGUGCUGUGGAGACACAGGUAAGUCAGGUGAGUUCAUUUAUUCAUUGAAUUGUUGUUGAGAUGUUUGAGCUCAUAACCUGCACCCUAGGUGUUAGUGCUUAUUUUAUUCACCACACCGCACGCUCGCCUUGGAUCCAAGUAGGUGGAUGUCGUACAGACCAUGUGAGGGUUCCGACAUGCCAGUCGUACAGACCAUUAGAGGGGUUCCGACUGGUGGGUGACCUUAGAUAUGCGCGCUGAUGAUAUGAUGAGAGAAGCACUAGAGCGUAUUUUUACACCUAUCAUCGUAUAGACUACCUUACGUAGUUCCGAGUGAUGUGCAGAGUAGGGCCGUAUAGGUCACUGUGGUGACUCCGGCUUAGUGAGAUAUUGAGCUAUUGAAUUAAUCGUAUAGGACCAACUGCAGGGUCUCCGAUUGAUUCCUUAUUUCACCUGAUUUAUAUUUUGAUUUAUGGCAUGACAUGUUUUUCUUGAAAAAUGUUAAAGAUUUGGAAUUCAAGUUUUGAGAUUUCAUAUGGUUUUAUAUAUAUAUAUAUAUAUAUUUUUUUUUUUCUGAAAAGUGUUAAAGGUUUGAGAUUUGAGAUUUUUGCUUAUAUAUAUGUUUAUAUAUAUGCUAUUUUCUGGGAAAGUAUACAGGUUUUACGGUGAGGGGUUAGAAAUGUUUUAAAUGAAAAGUUUUCGAAAAACUUUGUUUUACUGACCCACUCAAUUUUGUUUUGCGCCCCUCCAGGUUCAAGUUAGCAGAGCUUUGGUGGCCACGAGGAAUCCAACGGUGUUCUGACAUAAUUCACAAAAGUAGGACUCACCCUCGGAUGUGUUAUCUUAGUAAUUGGAAAUUUUUUUAAAGCUUCCGAACUGUGUAAAUGGUUACGUCACUCUCACGUGACGGCCAGCACGCCCUCCUUCGGGACGGGGUGUGUCAGUUGGUAUCAGAGCCUAGGUUGCAAUUCUGGACAUCUUGAGAAUUUCCUAGUGUUUUCUGUCAGAACUAUACCGCCUCGUAGCGAGCCACGUAGUUCGGAUGAGCCUAAAUUCCCUGAUAUAGUAGUUUGGGGGGGAACUAUUGCCAUUGUGAUUCAGUCUAUUAUCUAAAGGAACCUUGAGACUGGUUAUAAGUUAAAUUUGAAUACAGACUUGCCUUGUUUCCAUUCGGAUGUUGUUACUAAUCCGGUCGAGGUGUUAUGUCGUUUUUGGCUGGAUAAUAAGAAGAAGUGACGUUCUUUGGCGACCACAAUCCAUUGUACUUUUUACCAAGAGUUUACGAGAUGUUGUUGGGCUUUAAAGACUUUGAGAAUAUGAUCAGCGAGAGUAAAGAGGAAUAAGAAAGGAAUGAGAAUCAGAAUAAGACGAUAAAGUUAAAGAUUCGUCAUAUCAAAAGACCUCGGAGGACUCAGAGCUUCAAAGGAAGUGAAAUUAGAGCUAAUUUUCCCAGCUUAGGUUUUACUGCCACUGGUCAGAGGCGAAGUGAUAGAUUUACUAGUGAUCCCAGAUUUUUGAGACAAGAUGACUCUGGUAGAGGAAAUGUAUAUUUGUGCCAUAGGUAUAAUAUUAGACACUUUGGAGAGUGUGGGAAUCAGUGAAUGUGUUCAUGUGGACGGAUGGGACAUAGAGGUAUGAAUUGUCCCUGAGAUCAGUUGUUACCCAACAGUCUUCCUUAACAUAUCACUUGGAAAAUUGACGGGUAAGUCGUACAGGUCACUAUAUGUGACUUCGACUUAUGAGCUAGCAUGGAUAGUCAAGUUGUAGACUCAGUCGCACAGGUCAUUCUAGCUGACUCCAACUGAUAUAUUUCUUAUUAUGGAUGAUGUUGCCAAAGAAAGUAAUGUUGGAGCACGAUCGAGGCGUAUUUAUGUAUUUCUAAGGAAGAACAAGAUAAUAUUACACAUUCAGGAAUUGUUACUUACUUAUCGAGACAACAUUGGGUUAUUUGUAUUGCGGGCUGCAUACCGUAAUAUUUAUAACUUAUUUGUUGGAUUCGUUAAGCAAGUAAACACGUAGGUCAUCCUACGUUAGUAUGGUGCUAUUUAGGGUGUCCGGUGAUGGUGAAAAAUGUCAUGUCGGUGAAUUUUAUUCCGUUGGAUAUUGUGGAUUUUGAGGUGAUUUUUGGCACAAAGUGGGUGCAGAAUAAAUUUGCCAAGCUAGAUUGCUAUGGCGAAUCAGUUAAUUUUUGUCGACCUGGAUGACCAUAGGUUACUUUUGGGGGUAAGUAAAGUGGAGUGAGUCAUGCCAUUAUUCAUGUUGAGAGAGCAAAGAAGAUUGUUAUCAAAAGGCUGCCAAGAUAUUUAGUUCAUAUGGUGCUAAAUGAUGUUGAUCCUAAUAGUAUGGAAGAUGUAAAGAUGGUUAGACAUUUUCCUGGUGUAUUUCCAAAUGACUUACCUAGAUUACCGCCAGGCAGAGAUGUGGGUUCCAUUAUUGAAUUGUUUUUAGGUACAAAUCCUAUGUUAGAGAUUGGUUCAGGUUGAGUUAAAAGUUCCAUUCAACUUAUUAUAUCACAUUGGAAAAGCUUCGGUUUAUUUGUGAGGAAGAAAGUGGACAUUAAGGCUAGGCAUUGAUAUUAGGUAAUUGAAUCGGGUAACGAUUGAGAGCUGUUAUCCAUUGUUGUGUAUUGAUGAUUAUUUGAUCAGCUCUGAGGCGCCUGGGUACUUUCUGAGAUUGACUAGAGGUCUGAAUGAUAUUAGUUGAAGAUUAACAGUGAGGAUGUUCAUAAGACUGAAUCCAGGACUCGUUAUGGUCAUUUCAAGUUAGGAUGCCAUACGGAGUGACGAAUGCACCUGCUACUUUUAUGAGUUUGCUGAAGGAAGUAUUCCAGUGAUAUCUGGACCGGGUUGUUAUUGUUUGCCAUUGACGAGAUUGAUAAGAUUAGAGCAGUGCAUGCUAGAUAUUUAAAGUUGGUGUUGCAAAGAUUGAGGGAACGUUGAUGUAUGCUAAGUUUAGCAAAUGCUAAUGUUGGAUAAAUUAAUUAUAUCUACUUAAGGUAUUCAAAUGGAUUCUUAAAAGAGUAGCAACGAUUGAGAAUUUGGAACAAUUGCGAACUGUGACUGAGGUUCAGAGUUUUCUCGGAUUAGCAGGAUAUUGUCGAUAGUUCGUCCAAGAUUUUAAUUAUUGCUUCGCCCUUGGCGAGAUUGAUGAGAAAAGAGGUUAAGUUUGAGUGGGAUGAAAAAUUAUAAGUAGAGCUUCAGCAAGUAAAGUAUUCCCUCACUCAUGCAUCUGUUUUCACACUCCCAGACGAUAGUGGUAAUUAUGUGGUCUAUAGUAAUACUUCUUUGAAUGUUCUUGAAUGCGCGUUGAUGCAGCAUGGUAGGAUGAUUGCCUAUGCUUCAUGGCCAUUGGGAUCUCAUAAGAUGAAUUACCCUACGUGUGAUUUGGAAUUGGCGGCUAUCAUUCUUACUUUGAAGUUAUGGAGACAUUAUAUUAUUGGUGAGAAAUGCAAGAUUUUAAUGAAUCAUAAGAGUCUCCAAUAUAUGUUUACGCUGAGAGAUAUUAAUCUUAGGCAACAAAGGUGGAUUGAGUUGCUUAGUGAUUAUGAUUGUGCGACUAGGGUGGUCGAGCUAAUAUUGUGGCUGAUGCAUUUAGUAGGAAGACCCCAGUGAGAAUUAAUGCUUGGUACGCUUGCUAUGUUCAUCUUCUUCUUGUGGAUUUGAAAUCUACUGGAGUAAAGUUGGGUAUCGAAAAAUCGAGAAGAAGCCUUAUUUGCUAAUUUCCAAGUUGGACCCAUUUGGUAGAUCGUACUCGAGACUCAAGCGUUUGACGAAGAAAUUCAAGAAUUUAUUUAAAGCAAGGAAUAACGGGAAAAAGAAAGACCUUAGAGUUAGAGAAUCAGAUGACAAGCUUAUGCAAGGGAACAAAGUGUUUAUGCCUAAUGGUGUGGAAUUAAAGAAAGCAAUUUUGACGAUGUACAUUAUUCCACUUCUACAAUGCAUCCCGAAAGUACUAAGAUUUAUCAUACCAUUCGUUCAUGUACUAUUGACGGGUAUGAAAAGAGGAAUGGCGAAGUAUGUUAGUAGGCGUAUCAUCAGUCAUCAGGUUAAAGCAGAAAGAAAUAAGUCUUUUGGAAUAAUGUAGUCAUUUCCCAUUCCACGGCGGAAAUGGGAGAAUAUUACUAUGGAUUUCGUGGACAAGCUUCCUCGUAUACAAAAUAGUUAGGUUGGAAUUUGAAUAAUAAUUGAUCGACUUGUGACGUCAGCGUAUGUUACUUCAGUAUGAGAACAUCAACCUUUCCAGAUAAGCGCAACAGUUAUUUAUUUGUUUUAUGGAAAAAGGAGAUUGGGAUCUGUUAAACUUCUUGGGUAUGUUGGUCCCUUCAGUUUGUUCCCUAGAGUAACGCCAUAAGGCCGUGGAAAGCUAUGUCUUGUGUUUUCGAAAUUGUUAGAAUUGGGGACGGAUGAUAUUCAAGACUCUGAGUUUGGUGAAAAUUUAUGGAGGAAUCUUUCAGUGGAAGAAACUACUUGAAAGUCAGAGAAUCGAAUGAGAGAGAGAGUUGUGUUUCGGGCUGUUUUAUGGAUAUUGCUGGAUUGUAAAGAUUGUGUAAAUUUCGGGGACGAAAUUUCUUUAAGGUGGGUAGAUUGUGACAGCCCGUCCCUAAUUUUAAGAAUUUUUAAAGUUUUCAUAAAGGAUUUUACAAAAAAUGCCCUUUGAAGGUACGUGCAUUAUUCGAGGUUAAUCACCAUGUCGUGCCAUCUAAGAUUUGUUUUCUUGACAUAUCCCCGUAGUACUCGUCGUUACGGACGCGUGGGCGCAGACGGUUCGUGAUUUGGAGUUAUAUCGAAGAAGUUAUUAAAGUUUGAAGUUGGGAUUUUAAGGAAUUAUAAUUUUAGUAAAAUAUAGAAAUUCUUUUAUGAAAAUGGACGGCCCAGAUUUAAUGAUGAAUGAAAUGGAUGGUUGGGAUGAGAGAAAGUUUUGUGUGUGUGUGUGUGCGUGAGAAGAAAACAGAAAAGAGAGAGGGAUUGGGCAAAGCUGCCCAAUCGGAGAAGAAGGAGGAGAGACCGAAUGGGGAGAAGAGAGAGGGAGAAGCUGACCAACUAGAGGAAGGAAAGGAGGAAAGGAGAGAGGGCGAGAAGCGGAGGAGAGAAGGAAGAAAUGGGUUUUUCCCCAACCCGUAUACCCGCGCGACCCGCGACUUCCAAUCGGCGGGUUUUCGCCAUUUUCGUCCAAUUUUCCGACGAAUUGAAUCAAGG